Molecule: ribosomal RNA, 433 nt
Filed under: uncultured bacterium
Lineage: Bacteria
Description: partial 16S ribosomal RNA
Rfam family: Bacterial small subunit ribosomal RNA
Source: RNAcentral
AACGAACGCUGGCGGCAUGCCUAACACAUGCAAGUCGAACGAGACCUUCGGGUCUAGUGGCGCACGGGUGCGUAACGCGUGGGAUCCUGCCCUUAGGUUCGGAAUAACUCCCCGAAAGGGGUGCUAAUACCGGAUAAUGUCUUCGGACCAAAGAUUUAUCGCCUUUGGAUGGGCCCGCGUUGGAUUAGCUAGUUGGUAGGGUAAAAGCCUACCGAGGCGACGAUCCAUAGCUGGUCUGAGAGGAUGAUCAGCCACACUGGGACUGAGAAACGGCCCAGACUCCUACGGGAGGCAGCAGUGGGGAAUAUUGGACAAUGGGCGAAAGGCUGAUCCAGCAAGGCCGCGUGAGUGAUGAAGGUCGUAGGGUUGUAAAGCUCGUUUACCCGGGAUGAUAAUGACAGUACCGGGAGAAUAAGCUCCGGCUAACUCCGUG